GACGAACGCUGGCGGCGUGCAUAACACAUGCAAGUCACGGGGGCCCGCAAGGGUAACCGGCGAACGGGUGCGUAACACGUGAGCAAUCUGCCGUCGUGUGGGGCAUAGCCGGCCUAACGGCCGGGUAAUUCCGCAUACGUUCUCGGAGAGGCAUUUCUCUGAGAGGAAACCCGCAAGGGGCACGACGAGGAGCUCGCGGCCUAUCAGCUAGUUGGCGAGGUAACGGCUCACCAAGGCGACGACGGGUAGCUGGUCUGAGAGGAUGACCAGCCACAUUGGGACUGAGAUACGGCCCAGACUCCUACGGGAGGCAGCAGUGGGGAAUAUUGCGCAAUGGCCUAACGGCUGACGCAGCGACGCCGCGUGCGGGAUGACGCUUUUCGGAGUGUAAACCGCUGUUGCCCGGGACGAAUAGCGAAAUUUUUCGACUUGACGGUACCGGGUGAGGAAGCACCGGCUAACUCCGUGCCAGCAGCCGCGGUAAUACGGGGGGUGCGAGCGUUGUCCGGAAUCACUGGGCGUAAAGGGCGCGUAGGUGGUCUUGUAAGUCUGUGGUGAAAGCCCGGGGCUCAACCCCGGGUCGGCCGUGGAUACUGUGAGACUGGAGCACUGUAGAGGCAGGUAGAACGUCGGGUGUAGCGGUGGAAUGCGUAGAGAUCCGACAGAAGACCGGUGGCGAAGGCGGCCUGCUGGGCAGUGACUGACACUGAGGCGCGACAGCGUGGGGAGCAAACAGGAUUAGAUACCCUGGUAGUCCACGCCGUAAACGAUGGGUACUAGAUGCUUCCGGGAGCGACCCCGGGAGUGUCGGCGCUAACGCAGGAAGUACCCCGCCUGGGGAGUACGGCCGCAAGGCUGAAACUCAAAGGAAUUGACGGGGGCCCGCACAAGCGGUGGAGCAUGUGGUUUAAUUCGACGCAACGCGAAGAACCUUACCCAGGCUUGACAUGCAGGAGAAGUUCGGCUGAAAGGCUGGGCGCGCUUCGGCGCUCCUGCACAGGUGCUGCAUGGCUGUCGUCAGCUCGU
This 1026-nucleotide ribosomal RNA is filed under the name uncultured bacterium. RNAcentral's name for it is "bacterial SSU rRNA". It matches the Rfam family "Bacterial small subunit ribosomal RNA", at positions 28 to 1063 of the family's 1533-position model. The record is from RNAcentral.